AAAACAAGAUUAUGUAGUAUGUAUGUAGGUUCAGACAGGUGUCAAGGAAGAUACUCAACAGAAUCUAUACAUCAGUCCUUAUCUUUCAGCUCCAACUGAAAUUGGAUUCUGGACUACUUCCCCACUUCAACCCUCUCAAUACUUGAGAAAAGGCUUAAUUAGAGCGAAGACUGGGUGGAAGAAUAAAGGCUCAUUAAUCAAGUGGAUACCUCGAACUUUCAGUGGAAAGGAAUCCUGUCAGCAUACAUGGAAAACAGAAGAAAAAGAAAACAUUAUUGAAACACCUCUAUUACUAAGCACAGGCCUGUAAAAACUGUCUAGUCCGUAGGUUAAAGUAUUUCUUCUGACCUUGCCAAUUCCUGCAUUUUCUAGCAGUGUAAAUUAAGAACAACAUUUAGAAAAAUCAUAUCUUGUGCCUCCCAUUAGAGGAAAAAGAUCUCAUAAUAUUUUCACCUCAGUAGGAGGUGAGAUUGAAUAUUAAAAACAAACAGAAAAACAAAAAAGAAAACUAUCACCAAAUUGCACAUAAAAAUUGUACACAAACUUUGUGCUCAGCCUUUCUUCUAAUGUGCAAUUUUUCACAAGAUUCUGCUACUAAUUUACAAAAUGCUAUCUAGAUAUGUGCUUUUAUUGGCAAUUUACAGCCAUAAAUAUAUAUAAACUAUUGAAAAUACUAACUUUAAGUUAAGUAAGUUUUAUUUAUAAUUUAGUGGUAAGCCUUGAAAUUACUAGGAAUUUGGCCAAGACAGAAGUUCAGCUUUACAACAAGAUUACUGUUUUAAUGAAAAUUUUAAAAUAUCUGCUAUACAGCCUUUAUAAUAUAAAACAGCUUGGAUUUUACUUGCAUUCAUUUAAAAGUUCCAGAUCUUUGAAAUUUAAAAGAAAAUAUGGCAGUGCUCAAAACAAGCUUUGUGCAAUGGGGAAAGUACAGCUUCCCUUCAUAUCCCACCUGAUACUACCUCUGAGAGGUUUCCUGCUUAUAAAAAUGGCAGUUCUCACAAACAUAUCUCCUCACUAGUUCAAUAGUUCUAAGGAAGAAAAAACCCAAAGCUAAAACAUUUCUUUAGUGCCACGCCUGGAUUUUAAUGUAUGAUAAAGACCUUAAAAUUAUCAGCUUGUAUGUUCACUUAAUGUUAUUAUGGGUUACCAUAUACUUAAAGUCUGCUAUCAUUUUCACAAAACAAUUUUCUGCCUGGGAUAACAGAUUUUUCAAGAUAAUGUCACUUAUUAUCCAUACUAUGCUUUCCAUUCCUUAGUACAUAUUUCCUUUCUAUUAACUUCUGUUUCUUGAUACAGGAUAGUAAUUUGCAAGACACAUUUCCUGAGUUAAGUACAGGGUUAAAAGUAAGGUUUUACUUAUAAGCAUAUUCUGGAGCGCUUUAAGCAUGUCCUGGGGUGCAUCAGGCACAGCAUCUCCAGCUGGGCAAAGGAGGGCAUUGUCCUGCUCUCCUCUGCACUGGGGCAGUCUCACCUUGAACACUGUGUGCAGUUUUGGGCACCAAAAUAUGAAAGACAUUAAGCUAUUAGAGAGCUUCAAAUGAGGGUCAGGAGGAUGGUGAAGAGCCUGGAGGGGAAGUUGUGUGACGAGUGGCUGAGGCCACUUGGUCUGUUCAGCCUGGAGAAGAGGAGACUGAGGAGAAACCUCAUCACAGUCUGCAAUUUCCUUGUGAGGGGAAGAGGAAGGGAAGAUUUCUUCACUCUCCUGACCAGAGACAGGACCUAAGGGAAUGGCUUGAAGUUGUGUCAGAGGAGGCUUAUACUGGAUAUGAGGAAAAAGUUCUUAACCCGGAGGGUGGUUGAGCACUGGAACAGGUUCCCCAGGGAAGUGGUCACAGCUCCAAGCCUGACAAGAGUUCAAGAAGUGUUUGGACAAUGCUCUCAGCCACAUGGACUCCGUGAUAGCCAGCUUGCAAAAGACCAAGAACAGAAGAUGGUUGUAAAUCUGCACUUAUUUCUGGGCAUUCGAUUCUCCACUUCUGAUAAUUCUUCAAUAACUGGAAAAAGAAAAUAAUGUGGAUGUCAGGUUGCAAAAAAAGGAUUUAAGUUCUUGAACUUUGGAAUAAAGAGAGUGGUGUUUUCAGCUUGUGAUGCACUCAAGAUCCUUACAGAAGGCAUAGUUAACCUACCUGCACACCCAUUAAGGAGUAAAUAUAUGGUUGGAAUACUUCUGACACUUUCCAUGACACAACUACCUUGAUCCUGCAGUACAUCCAUAUGCAAACAAUGAUCUCUUAUGGUGAGUAAACUUGGAAAAUCUACAGUCCAGAGAAGUCAGAAACUAAUAGGUGAAGUCUGUUGGGCAAUGCAGUGUAAACAACACAAAAUUCCAUGGAAACACAGCUUUCAGUUGGCACAUGUGAAUCAAUGCUUUUGCCCUGGGAGGAUUUGGAAAUACUUUCUGUUCCAAAGGUUUAAUGGCUGUCAAUCUUUCAUUUAAAAAAAUAACAAACUCAUAACAAUCUGUGCCUUUGGAUAUUGAAAAUAUGUGUGCUCUGUGGCAAAAAGGCAUACAAAGAGCUGGGGAAAAAAAGAGCCUGCAAGGAGUGAUGUAAAAGACUAAACUCCGAGUAAAAAGAAGGGUUUACUCAUGGUUUUAGAGUAAUUAUAAGUCUGUAGUGAAACUAGUACGCCUGCUAGUAACCUGAGCCUGAUAAUCAUGACAGGGGUGUCCUUUGAAGGAUACUGUUUCCCAAUCGGAGCUGUGACCUUACCGCUCUUACUGUACGGGCGAGUGACUGUACGGCGCUUACCACAGCCUCGGUGUUACCCCACGGACACGGCGCCGAGCCAGCCGCCACGCCGCGCACUGCUGCGGUGCCGCGCCGAAGACACGCGUGACGAGCA
Molecule: long non-coding RNA, 2844 nt
Organism: Pyrgilauda ruficollis (rufous-necked snowfinch)
Lineage: Eukaryota; Metazoa; Chordata; Aves; Passeriformes; Passeridae
Exons: 5
Source: RefSeq, a predicted model, not a curated record